This 432-nucleotide unclassified non-coding RNA is filed under the name Hevea brasiliensis (rubber tree). The record is from RNAcentral. Lineage: Eukaryota; Viridiplantae; Streptophyta; Magnoliopsida; Malpighiales; Euphorbiaceae.
AAAAUGAAAAGAUAAUUAAUAGAUAUUUGCUGUCUGUAUGUCUUGAAUAGCGAGUCCAUGACCCCUUUUUCCCAGGCAUAAAUUGUAAAAGAAAAAGAAAUUGUGUGCACACGUGCAUAUUGUAUAAUGCCUAGUGGGUUGCAUUGCAAUAUACAAAAACCAACCUCACGUGGAAAGGUAACCCAAAUGGUUGUCUCUAAUGCAAUUUGUGUCAGGGGAAUAUGAAGCUGAAACCUUGGAUGCCUUCCUUCUAAUUUUAAAUUGCAGAACCCUUCUUAGUAUAUUAGUCUGUGUCCACAGAUUGACAAGUUAACCCUCAUAUUAAUCAUACACCGAUCUGUAUUGCAAGGGCAAAUUAGUCCUGUGAUUUAUGAAAGCUGCCCAGUUCAUUAACAGCCUUAAAUUUGUCAUCUUUGGGUUCCCAGGAAAAAG